Molecule: ribosomal RNA, 618 nt
Filed under: Salmonella enterica
Lineage: Bacteria; Pseudomonadati; Pseudomonadota; Gammaproteobacteria; Enterobacterales; Enterobacteriaceae
Also listed under: 1 other name
Description: partial 23S ribosomal RNA
Rfam family: Bacterial large subunit ribosomal RNA
Source: RNAcentral
AGACCCGAAACCCGGUGAUCUAGCCAUGGGCAGGUUGAAGGUUGGGUAACACUAACUGGAGGACCGAACCGACUAAUGUUGAAAAAUUAGCGGAUGACCUGUGGCUGGGGGUGAAAGGCCAAUCAAACCGGGAGAUAGCUGGUUCUCCCCGAAAGCUAUUUAGGUAGCGCCUCGUGAAUUCAUCUCCGGGGGUAGAGCACUGUUUCGGCUAGGGGGCCAUCCCGGCUUACCAACCCGAUGCAAACUGCGAAUACCGGAGAAUGUUAUCACGGGAGACACACGGCGGGUGCUAACGUCCGUCGUGAAGAGGGAAACAACCCAGACCGCCAGCUAAGGUCCCAAAGUCAUGGUUAAGUGGGAAACGAUGUGGGAAGGCCCAGACAGCCAGGAUGUUGGCUUAGAAGCAGCCAUCAUUUAAAGAAAGCGUAAUAGCUCACUGGUCGAGUCGGCCUGCGCGGAAGAUGUAACGGGGCUAAACCAUGCACCGAAGCUGCGGCAGCGACACUCAGGUGUUGUUGGGUAGGGGAGCGUUCUGUAAGCCUGUGAAGGUGGCCUGUGAGGGUUGCUGGAGGUAUCAGAAGUGCGAAUGCUGACAUAAGUAACGAUAAAGCGGGUGAA